This is a long non-coding RNA of Polypterus senegalus (gray bichir), 403 nucleotides long. RefSeq lists it as uncharacterized. The record is from RefSeq and is a predicted model, not a curated record. The transcript has 5 exons. Lineage: Eukaryota; Metazoa; Chordata; Cladistia; Polypteriformes; Polypteridae.
CGGUGCAGGAAGGCACUGGGGUUGCACGUGAGCAAAACUCCUGAAGAAGACACCCUUUGAGGGUACCCAGCUGAAGGAAGCCCCUCCCUUUCCAGUCCACAGUAUUUAAGAGCAGAGUGACCACAGAGGUGUUUACUAUGAGUUGAAUACUCUUCAGCCUGUUGCAUGCUAUCUUUUCCACUGGUGAAAAUUUCGGAUAAGGCUUUUUCCAUAGGGAGCAUAACUGAGGAAAAGAUUUCAUUAGAAUAUCUUCUCUGGCUUCGUGCUUUUAUUUCUGGCGACUGAGUGCUGAAGAUCAGGUGUUAUCAGUGUCGUCAGUGCACAUACUGGGUUCGCUCUGUUCCUCAACAAAGGGAGCUGAGAGGAAAAUUGUGGGCUCUCUAUGAAGAACUCAGGUAGCAUG